Molecule: unclassified non-coding RNA, 22 nt
Filed under: Dictyostelium discoideum
Lineage: Eukaryota; Evosea; Eumycetozoa; Dictyosteliales; Dictyosteliaceae
Source: RNAcentral
ACUUCAAUGGAUCACCAAGUAA